RNAcentral lists this ribosomal RNA (255 nucleotides) under uncultured bacterium. RNAcentral describes it as "partial 16S ribosomal RNA". It matches the Rfam family "Bacterial small subunit ribosomal RNA", at positions 524 to 776 of the family's 1533-position model. The record is from RNAcentral.
UACGGGGGGAGCAAGCGUUGUUCGGAUUUACUGGGCGUAAAGGGCGCGUAGGCGGCCUCCGCAAGUCAGUUGUGAAAUCUCCGGGCUUAACUCGGAAAGGUCAGCCGAUACUGCGGGGCUAGAGUGCAGAAGGGGCAACUGGAAUUCUCGGUGUAGCGGUGAAAUGCGUAGAUAUCGGGAGGAACACCAGUGGCGAAGGCGACUACCUGGCCUGUUUCUUGACGCUGAGGCGCGAAAGCUAGGGGAGCAAACGGG